ACAGCAGGGACUGUGUGUAUCGGUGCUGUGCUAAAAAAAUGCACUUUAAAUCCGAAAGUAAUCCCUGCAAUAAAAAUGGGAAGAUGGGCAGUUGUGUUUCAAUUACUUUCCAUUGAAAUUUCUCAACAAUCAUCUUCCCUACAUUU
Small nucleolar RNA from Mercurialis annua (annual mercury), 146 nucleotides. RefSeq annotates it as small nucleolar RNA snoR135. The record is from RefSeq and is a predicted model, not a curated record. Lineage: Eukaryota; Viridiplantae; Streptophyta; Magnoliopsida; Malpighiales; Euphorbiaceae. The transcript has a single exon.